This 440-nucleotide ribosomal RNA is filed under the name uncultured bacterium. RNAcentral describes it as "bacterial SSU rRNA". It matches the Rfam family "Bacterial small subunit ribosomal RNA", at positions 340 to 773 of the family's 1533-position model. The record is from RNAcentral.
UACGGGAGGCAGCAGUGGGGAAUAUUGCACAAUGGGCGCAAGCCUGAUGCAGCCAUGCCGCGUGUAUGAAGAAGGCCUUCGGGUUGUAAAGUACUUUCAGUCGUGAGGAAGGUGUUAAGGUUAAUAACCUUAGCAAUUGACGUUAGCGACAGAAGAAGCGCCGGCUAACUCCGUGCCAGCAGCCGCGGUAAUACGGAGGGUGCGAGCGUUAAUCGGAAUUACUGGGCGUAAAGGGCACGCAGGCGGUUAAUUAAGUUGGAUGUGAAAUCCCCGGGCUUAACCUGGGAAUGGCAUUCAAGACUGGUUAGCUAGAGUCUUGUAGAGGGGGUAGAAUUCCAUGUGUAGCGGUGAAAUGCGUAGAGAUGUGGAGGAAUACCGGUGGCGAAGGCGGCCCCUGGGACAAAGACUGACGCUCAUGUGCGAAAGCGUGGGGAGCAAAC